GACGAACGCUGGCGGCGUGCCUAAUACAUGCAAGUCGAACGAACUCUGGUAUUGAUUGGUGCUUGCAUCAUGAUUUACAUUUGAGUGAGUGGCGAACUGGUGAGUAACACGUGGGAAACCUGCCCAGAAGCGGGGGAUAACACCUGGAAACAGAUGCUAAUACCGCAUAACAACUUGGACCGCAUGGUCCGAGUUUGAAAGAUGGCUUCGGCUAUCACUUUUGGAUGGUCCCGCGGCGUAUUAGCUAGAUGGUGGGGUAACGGCUCACCAUGGCAAUGAUACGUAGCCGACCUGAGAGGGUAAUCGGCCACAUUGGGACUGAGACACGGCCCAAACUCCUACGGGAGGCAGCAGUAGGGAAUCUUCCACAAUGGACGAAAGUCUGAUGGAGCAACGCCGCGUGAGUGAAGAAGGGUUUCGGCUCGUAAAACUCUGUUGUUAAAGAAGAACAUAUCUGAGAGUAACUGUUCAGGUAUUGACGGUAUUUAACCAGAAAGCCACGGCUAACUACGUGCCAGCAGCCGCGGUAAUACGUAGGUGGCAAGCGUUGUCCGGAUUUAUUGGGCGUAAAGCGAGCGCAGGCGGUUUUUUAAGUCUGAUGUGAAAGCCUUCGGCUCAACCGAAGAAGUGCAUCGGAAACUGGGAAACUUGAGUGCAGAAGAGGACAGUGGAACUCCAUGUGUAGCGGUGAAAUGCGUAGAUAUAUGGAAGAACACCAGUGGCGAAGGCGGCUGUCUGGUCUGUAACUGACGCUGAGGCUCGAAAGUAUGGGUAGCAAACAGGAUUAGAUACCCUGGUAGUCCAUACCGUAAACGAUGAAUGCUAAGUGUUGGAGGGUUUCCGCCCUUCAGUGCUGCAGCCAACGCAUUAAGCAUUCCGCCUGGGGAGUACGGCCGCAAGGCUGAAACUCAAAGGAAUUGACGGGGGCCCGCACAAGCGGUGGAGCAUGUGGUUUAAUUCGAAGCUACGCGAAGAACCUUACCAGGUCUUGACAUACUAUGCAAAUCUAAGAGAUUAGACGUUCCCUUCGGGGACAUGGAUACAGGUGGUGCAUGGUUGUCGUCAGCUCGUGUCGUGAGAUGUUGGGUUAAGUCCCGCAACGAGCGCAACCCUUAUUAUCAGUUGCCAGCAUUAAGUUGGGCACUCUGGUGAGACUGCCGGUGACAAACCGGAGGAAGGUGGGGAUGACGUCAAAUCAUCAUGCCCCUUAUGACCUGGGCUACACACGUGCUACAAUGGAUGGUACAACGAGUUGCGAACUCGCGAGAGUAAGCUAAUCUCUUAAAGCCAUUCUCAGUUCGGAUUGUAGGCUGCAACUCGCCUACAUGAAGUCGGAAUCGCUAGUAAUCGCGGAUCAGCAUGCCGCGGUGAAUACGUUCCCGGGUCUUGUACACACCGCCCGUCACACCAUGAGAGUUUGUAACACCCAAAGUCGGUGGGGUAACCUUUUAGGAACCAGCCGCCUAAGGUGGGACAGAUGAUUAGGGUG
RNAcentral lists this ribosomal RNA (1489 nucleotides) under Lactiplantibacillus plantarum. RNAcentral's name for it is "bacterial SSU rRNA". It matches the Rfam family "Bacterial small subunit ribosomal RNA". Lineage: Bacteria; Bacillati; Bacillota; Bacilli; Lactobacillales; Lactobacillaceae. The record is from RNAcentral.